AUUGAACGCUGGCGGCAUGCCUUACACAUGCAAGUCGAACGGCAGCACGGGUGCUUGCACCUGGUGGCGAGUGGCGAACGGGUGAGUAAUACAUCGGAACGUACCUUAUCGUGGGGGAUAACGCAGCGAAAGUUGCGCUAAUACCGCAUACGCCCUGAGGGGGAAAGCGGGGGACCGUAAGGCCUCGCGCGAUUAGAGCGGCCGAUGUCUGAUUAGCUUGUUGGUGGGGUAAAAGCUCACCAAGGCGAUGAUCAGUAGCUGGUCUGAGAGGACGAUCAGCCACACUGGGACUGAGACACGGCCCAGACUCCUACGGGAGGCAGCAGUGGGGAAUUUUGGACAAUGGGGGCAACCCUGACCCAGCAAUGCCGCGUGAGUGAAGAAGGCCUUCGGGUUGUAAGGCUCUUUUGUCAGGGAAGAAACAGCAGCUCUAACACAGUCUGCGAAUGACGGUACCUGAAGAAUAAGCACCGGCUAACUACGUGCCAGCAGCCGCCGUAA
Molecule: ribosomal RNA, 501 nt
Filed under: uncultured bacterium
Lineage: Bacteria
Description: partial 16S ribosomal RNA
Rfam family: Bacterial small subunit ribosomal RNA
Source: RNAcentral